This is a long non-coding RNA of Oryzias melastigma (Indian medaka), 1011 nucleotides long. RefSeq lists it as uncharacterized. The transcript is spliced from 3 exons. NCBI's taxonomy places the organism in Eukaryota, Metazoa, Chordata, Actinopteri, Beloniformes, Adrianichthyidae. The record is from RefSeq and is a predicted model, not a curated record.
CGGACCACAGCCUGCACGCCGUGAGGCUGCAUGAGGCGCUCGGACAGCAGCUGACCACACAGCCGCCGCAGCCAAGCGGGCGCCGAUGCCAGACCUGCCCUGCUGCCGGAGGAGCUCCCGAGCCGAGCCACCUGUUUGGGUCCACCUUGGAGGAUCAGAAGCUCCUUGAUGACGAUCGGUUGGUAAACUUUUUCCAGGAGACUCCUGAGGGCCGCUUUACAGGCACGACAUUCGUCAACGUUCAGCCACUGAGGGGAACGCAUAAAAAAGGGGUGGAGCCUCCUGGCGGAUCAGUUUUUCAACUACGGCUCCAAACGCGGACCUGUGGCCCAGCGGCACGCCCACGCCUGGCGCAAGGAAAGGACAGAGCCCCAAAGACACCACGAACUGCAGAGCGGUGCUGAGGGUCUUCUGCUGCGCUACACUGAGGACAUCAGGGGGGAGAGGCGGAGCCAUUUCAGCCGUACGAAGUCUGGCUGUGGAUGGAGGCGGAGCCUGCUGGAAGCGCUCGAGCUCCAUCGUCAUGUGACGCGUGAGCGUGAGGAGCAGCAGGAGACACUCCUGAACAAAGCUCCAUGUGGCGUCUUCUGAGUCGCUGCAGAACCACUCUGCUGACCGGGCCACCUCCUCCCUCAGCCUCUGCACCUCCUCAAAGCUGCUGUCGCUCUGGAGCCGCUCCAGUAGCAGAGCCCUGUUGGCCUCCAAAGCGGCCUGGAGCGCCACCUGCUGGGAGGUCUGAGCAUUGACUUCUGCAGACACAAACAGAAAAGAAGGUGUAAAUCCAUCCUUUAAUAGGUAUUUGAAAAUUCUGCAGAAGACUGAUGAGUUUUUUUUUUUGCUUUAAAUAUUAAAAUUGUUUAUAAAAGUUGAAUUUCCCAGAUGAAGUAUGUGUAAAACUUAAUUCAAAAUUAAUACUCUCUGGGUUUUGAUCCCAAAUGUCCAAGAUUAUUAUGUAAGAGACAUUGAUGUAGGAAUUAUAAUAAGAAGAACUAAAAUAAAAUCUGAUAAUCA